Molecule: ribosomal RNA, 253 nt
Filed under: uncultured bacterium
Lineage: Bacteria
Description: partial 16S ribosomal RNA
Rfam family: Bacterial small subunit ribosomal RNA
Source: RNAcentral
UCCGUAGGGCGCAAGCGUUGUCCGGAAUUAUUGGGCGUAAAGAGCUUGUAGGCGGUUUGUCGCGUCUGCUGUGAAAUUUCGGGGCUCAACCCCGAACUUGCAGUGGGUACGGGCAGACUAGAGUGUGGUAGGGGAGACUGGAAUUCCUGGUGUAGCGGUGAAAUGCGCAGAUAUCAGGAGGAACACCGAUGGCGAAGGCAGGUCUCUGGGCCACUACUGACGCUGAGAAGCGAAAGCAUGGGGAGCGAACAGG